AAAAACUUAGUGUCGCAUGACACAAAAUUGAAAAGGCGCUUCGGCGUCACCUAGAGAUGGAUAGCGGUGCAUUAGUUAGUUGGUGGGGUAAAGGCCUACCAAGACAAUGAUGCAUAGCCGAGUUGAGAGACUGAUCGGCCACAUUGGGACUGAGACACGGCCCAAACUCCUACGGGAGGCUGCAGUAGGGAAUCUUCCACAAUGGGCGAAAGCCUGAUGGAGCAACGCCGCGUGUGUGAUGAAGGCUUUCGGGUCGUAAAGCACUGUUGUAUGGGAAGAACAGCUAGAAUAGGAAAUGAAAUUUUAGUUUGACCCUACCAUACCAGAAAGGGACGGCUAAAUACGUGCCAGCAGCCGCGGAAAUACGUAUGUCCCGAGCGUUAUCCGGAUUUAUUGGGCGUAAGCGAGCGCAGACGGUUUAUUAAGUCUGAUGUGAAAGCCCGGAGCUCAACUCCGGAAUGGCAUUGGAAACUGGUUAACUUGAGUGCAGUAGAGGUAAGUGGAACUCCAUGUGUAGCGGUGGAAUGCGUAGAUAUAUGGAAGAACACCAGUGGCGAAGGCGGCUUACUGGACUGCAACUGACGUUGAGGCUCGAAAGUGUGGGUAGCAAACAGGAUUAGAUACCCUGGUAGUCCACACCGUAAACGAUGAACACUAGGUGUUAGGAGGUUUCCGCCUCUUAGUCGCGAAGCUAACGCAUUAAGUGUUCCGCCUGGGGAGUACGACCGCAAGGUUGAAACUCAAAGGAAUUGACGGGGACCCGCACAAGCGGUGGAGCAUGUGGUAAUUCGAAGCAACGCGAAGAACCUUACCAGGUCUUGACAUCCUUUGAAGCUUUUAGAGAUAGAAGUGUUCUCUUCGGAGACAAAGUGACAGGUGGUGCUGGUCGUCGUCAGCUCGUGUCGUGAGAUGUUGGGUUAAGUCCCGCAACGAGCGCAACCCUUAUUGUUAGUUGCCAGCAUUCAGAUGGGCACUCUAGCGAGACUGCCGGUGACAAACCGGAGGAAGGCGGGGACGACGUCAGAUCAUCAUGCCCCUUAUGACCUGGGCUACACACGUGCUACAAUGGCGUAUACAACGAGUUGCCAACCCGUGAGGGUGAGCUAAUCUCUUAAAGUACGUCUCAGUUCGGAUUGUAGUCUGCAACUCGACUACAUGAAGUCGGAAUCGCUAGUAAUCGCGGAUCAGCACGCCGCGGUGAAUACGUUCCCGGGUCUUGUACACACCGCCCGUCACACCAUGGGAGUUUGUAAUGCCCAAAGCCGGUGGCCUAACCGCCGUCUAAGGCAGGCGAU
RNAcentral lists this ribosomal RNA (1295 nucleotides) under Leuconostoc mesenteroides subsp. mesenteroides. Its description in RNAcentral is "bacterial SSU rRNA". It matches the Rfam family "Bacterial small subunit ribosomal RNA", at positions 173 to 1454 of the family's 1533-position model. Lineage: Bacteria; Bacillati; Bacillota; Bacilli; Lactobacillales; Lactobacillaceae. The record is from RNAcentral.